UGUGUGUGUGUGUACAUAUACAUAUAGAGUACACACACAUAUUACAGUAACAUUUUAACCUGCUGGAAAUCAAUACAUAAAAGGUAUGUACAAAGGAGAAGGAAAAGAAUUUAGGGACUCUCUGCUUCUGAUCAUAACUGAUUCCAUUGCUAAACUUUAUUAAAAAAUAUCUGAGUAUCCCAUCCAUUCUUAUCAGACCUUGAGAGGCCCAGUGACACAGGCAGCUUUGGUCAGCGUUGUGGCUAGACUGAACAACUAUACAGAAUUCUGGAAACUGAAGUCUUUUGGAAAGAAAGACAAAGCAAUUGCCUGCCUACCUAGUUUGUGGAGGCCGUAUUCAUUCUCUUUCAACCAUAAGACCCCAAAAUGCACAUCAAAUUUCACUGUAAUGUGUAUGACUCAUGUGUUCCUGAAUGAAUUCAAGCCUCAGUCCCACACAUAGACCCAGUGUGAGAGAGUCUGGCCUGGCUCCUCUUGCAAAGCUUGUGCUCAGGAGCCUCUGACUAUGACUUGAGCAUGUAGCUGGUAAUAGCUCUUGAGACUAGACAACCGGGACUCCUCAAACAGCAUGGUGUGUAUGUCAGGGAGUGAUGUAGCCUGGGCCAGUUUCCUGCCCUUCUGGAGUUAUUAUUAUAGAUGUUCCAUUUUAACUAUCUGCAGAAGAAUUCUUCAGAGGCUGUGGAGAUGGCUCAGUGGUAAAGUGUUUGACACACAAGCACAAGAAAUGUGAGUUCUGAUUCUCAGAACCCAAUAAAGCUGAAUGCUGCAGAGCAGGGUGGAGUUAAUACAGGAAAUUGGUUACCAAGAAACUCAAAGGUUGAAGGAAAGCAAGACACAACAAAGAAAAGACAGAUCACCCAUGGCUGAGAGCAGUGACCUCACCAGAGUCUGGGGGACAGAAGGGAGUUGCCCGAGCUGCCAAAGCCCAAGAAAUCAGAGCCUUAAAGGACACUCGAAGAACAUUAAAAUGCUGUGACCACUUCUAAGCAGAGACUACGGUGCCUGGCAGAGUUCUUAGAAUUUAGUGGAUUUUCAACAUAGGCUUAUAUUUAACGAAUUAAUAAUGAAAGGCUUGAUUCUUCUGACAUCUUCCUUUAUGGUAAAGACAGUGAAUGGAAAAUCAGAGCUGAAGAAGAGGAGAUGCUUUUCAACGGACCUCUCAUUUGAAGUCCAGUGAGCACACAAUCAAGCGUUGGUCUUGCCAUCUCCGUUUCCGAGACUUGCCAGGUAUUUCCUGGGCUGUCAGCUGUUAGCUGGAGUGUGUGCAGGUGGGUGCUUAGCAAGCAUUUCUCGUCCUUUCUCUUAGUUCCAACGUUUGUUUAUGUUUCCUUAUCUCUUUCAUCCAAGGUGAACCUGAACUGAGAGGCAGCAUUUAUAAAAGAGCUGCCAGCUUGCACACAGGAAUUCUCUCACAUUCGUGCUUGCCUGGUUUUCUUCACCCAAAGCACAAAGACGUGCUGUUGAACACGCGUUGUUCUUUUCUCCUUGAAUACUAGAAAGAGAGGAUUCUUGGAUAUUUACCCAAAGUUUUGUCGCACUGAGAAGACUCUGUGGAGGAGACACGGCAGGGAAGCAGUUCUGGCGUAAAGAAGUAAAAAGGUUUCCCUCUUAGCUUUAUAAUAAGUAACUUCCUUACCCCUGUCUGGAAGCUUGUACACUGUAGACAAAAAGCUGCAAAGAACAAAAGGCGACCAGUUCACUCAAUGGAGUUCUCUGUACAGGUCAAGGAAAUGCCAAACUUAACAGAUGUCUUUGACUGUGCCCUGCAGGUCGAUAAAUCCGUUUUUGUUGAACCAGGAAGAGGAAGGAAUUUCAGAACUUCAGGUCCCCAAAUGGAAAUGCCCCUUAGGACAAGUCUAAACUAGGGAAAUAGCACUGGAGAGCCUCCAAGUCAGUUGGCCCAGUCUCCUGUAACUCAUUUCUGGGCCCCCUGAAGCUGUUUGUUUAACUCUGCCUCUACAAUUGCUGUUGUGUCAAAGGGAGUUAAUCAUUAGCAAGUGUGAACACUGUUGGUAGAAAACACAGCGAUUGCAGUUCUCCAUUCUGACAUAAUUUUAACUAUUUUUCAGAAUUAAGAGAAAAGGAACACUGGGUGAAAGUAGGGUAGAAUUUGGGGAGCUGUUAAUUCACUUUCCAGCUUUGACAAUUGCCAUGGAGAGAGUCAUGUAGUUUUCUGCACAUGAUGCUCCCUUGCCCACUGCCUCAGGGUAGUUUCUUCCCUCCAUGGUCAGUUUAGGGUGGCUAAUCUCCAGAAAUCUAGAUGUCAGAAAAUGAUCUGAAGGUUCAGGUAUAGGGACCUCUGCACUGUCAGAGCCACCAAUGAUACUGGAGCAAUAAUACAGACUGAGUUAGGGCACAGAGCUCCAUAGCCUUCCUGGGCUAAUAAUCCUCCCAGGCUAAUAGUCCUCUCGGGCUGGGAAUCACAACUCUUCUAUGAAUCACACCACAGGAGCCCUGGGAUUGGGGUUGGUGCAUAAAGUAACAUUCCAGCAGCUGCAGAAGAAUAAAUACAUGAGCUGCCAGGAAUUCAGCAGCCAUCCAGGGCUGCUGCCCCAGGCUCAGAAUCCCACUACUUGACAGGCUGAGGCAAGAAGGCUGCAAGUUUAGCAUCAAUCUUGACACAUCCAGACCAUGUCUCAAAAAUUUUAAAAAGUGAAAUGAAAAUGUUGGAGAGGUUGGGGAAGCUGCAGCUGUAGCUCGGUGGUAGCAUAUCUGACUGGCAUGCAGGAAGUCCUGUGUUCAAUCCCCCGAAGCACAUACCGCAUGCAUACACACAAAGACGUAUGCAUGCUCGCACGCGCACAGGCACGGACGCAUGCACGUGUACGCUCUCCUAGAGUUAUUCAAAUGGUCUCUAGUUUGAGAAUCUCAAGGAGACACCUAAACACGUUCUCGACAGUAGCAGCCACAGCCAAGACUCCGAAGAGCCUCUGAAAACCAGUACACAUUACCACAAGACUUUGGAAAUUGUCCCAUGGAUGGACAUAGACAAACCUCACUGCUUCUGGACCGCAGCUCUUCCAAUGAUGCCCUCUCCAGCUCACUCACUGCUGCUCCUCAUCUCCUUGGGCAACUUUUACAAGUGAAGGCAGAGACACCAAAGCCCAUGUCCUAAGGUCUCCAAUUCUCUCUCUCUUCCCUUUGUAAUUCCUCCCUCAGACUCCUUUUGUUAAUAUUUAUGUUCUCAGGCUUAGUCUAGAGAUACUCUCUACUUUAAAAUGAAAAUGGAGGGGUGUAGCUCAGAGGUUGAAAACAGACCCUCAUAUUGACCCUGAUACUCCCCGCUCUGCGAGGCCUGUGUGUGGCCUGGCGAUGCAUCCAGCCCGGUCCUCCAGGUGGCCUGUGCUCUGCCUCCAAAGACUGCAUCCAUGACUCAGCUCCAGAGGCUCUGCAGACCACAGCACAGUUUCGUGUGUCACAGACCUGCACACCUUUUGGCUCCUCUACAGGGUUUUCUGUCUGGGGCACCCUUUACUCAAUGGCAAGGUUUCCAUUCUCUUUGGCUGUCCUUGGGAUACUGGUCAUUUAUUCUCACUCUCCACGUCUUCUCCUCUACCCCGCAAUUUUGAAUGAAAUGAUUCUCUUCUGGACUCCAAAGGCGCCUGCCUGUUGUGUAGUGAAGGAUUUAGCCAGCUGUAUCGGGAGCGCGUGCUCAUCCUAGAUCCUUUCAUAGAAUAUGUGUCUCAGUGCAGGCAGAGCCCACGUUAUUUCAUUCCAGUGUCCCUGAUCUUUAGCACAUUAAUAAUGAGUCAUAUAGUAGCUUGUUAAAGUGCCCAGAGCGGGUGGGCUAGGCAAGUUCUAAUGUCUGUGUUUGUGUAAAUAACUUGAUUUUAAAUGCCUGGUUAGGUGUGGUGGUUUGAAUGAGAUGUCCCCAACAAGCCACCAGCUUUGAAUACUUGGUCCAGAGUUGGUUGCUGUCUUGGAGAGGGUGAGAAGGUGUGAUCUUAAUAAAGGAAGUGUAUCACUGGGGGUGGGCUUUGAGAUUUUGAAGACCCACAUACCAUCUCUACUGAGAACUCCCGAUUUCCUUUUUGUGGUUGGGAAUGCGGGCUCUCAGCUGAUGCUGCAGCUGCCUCCUGCACACAUAGUGCACUUACAGAAUCAGGAGAGAAUGCCUCAGGACUGGCAGUGUGGUUACAGUCACUUCGCAGGAAGAACGACAUACAGACACCUAGAACUGAAUGUAUUAUUGACUUCAUUGUAUUUUCCUGGGUGUCAGUCUCCACUUGAAAUCAUUGCUCUUUAGGGAGAAGGGAUAUUUUGUUUUGAAGAUUAGUUGGAGUGAAAGAAGAGGAGAGAUGGGUGAAAUGAUGAGAAGAAAAGAACAAGUACCUAUGACAUUGAACAAGAACAUUAUAAACCAGACCUGAUGACACAGAAAUAAGUCAUAGGGGAUGCUCCCCCUAUCAUGAAAUUGAUUUGUGCUUUUAGUAUUGUGGAGCAAAGAGACAGCUGAGGUUUACUCUGAAAUCAAUUUAUUAUUAUUAGCUUUUAAUUCUGGAGAAAUUUGGUAAUGGAAGGAUUUCUCUUCUUACACUUGAAGAGGAUAUUUGAGAGCCUUUUUAUGAGUAUCUCUUAAUAGGGUGCCAUCACUUGGGUCAGGAGGAAGAGAAACAAAUGUCCCCACUGGCCUUUCCUUUUAUGGAAACAGGCAUGUGUGGCUCAUUUCAACAUGUCAGUUGUACAUCUGGUAGCUCUAGAAGCUGAAUUCCAUGUCUAAUUCCUGGGAGAACACUGGGAAGGAGCAAUGAAAUGGAGAGACUAACUUCCAAGCACAGGUUUCAAAGAAGCAGUGCACACUGGGAAGUUGAAAUUGUUCAUUUACAGAAGGCACAGCAAGGUGGCCUGCAAAUGUAAGUGCUCCUCUGCAUUGUGUCUCUUUAAGAGAGUUAUUUUAUUCUGUGUAUAUGUGCCUGCAUGAGCUUAUAUGUAUCACAUGCUUUUGGGUGCUGCAGAAGCUAGGUGAGGAUUAUAGAGACUCUAGAGCUGUAGUUAAUCGAGGAUUGCGAGCUGUCCAGUGUGGGUGCUGGGAACCAGUCCCUGGUCCUAUACAAGAGCAGUGGGUGCUUGUAGCCACUGUGCUAUCCUGCCUCUGUUUUUGUUUUUGUUGUUUUUUGUUUGUUUGUUUGUUUGUUUGAGGCGGAGUUUCUUUGUAUAACCCAGGCUGGCCUUGAUUGAACUCCUGGUGAUUCUCCUUCCUCAAUCUCCUCCUGAGUUCCAGUAUUAAAGGCAUUAUCAUAGUUGGGCUUUUUUUUUUUUUUUUUUUUUUAAGGUUUACUAGAUGAUACCACUAAGAACAAGAUGAGAACACAUGGGUCUGGAUAGUCAAAUAAAGGUUGUAGAUCUACAUUUUUGAGGGAAGCUUACUGAUCUAGGCUUGAAGAGGGGUGUGGUGGUUUGAAUAUGCUUGGCCCAGGCAUUGGCACUAUUAGGAAGUGUGACUUUAUUGAAGGAAGUGUGUCACCGAGAGGGUGGGCUUUUAAACCCUCCUCCUGGCUUCCUGGAUGACAGCUUCCGCUAUGGAACAAGAUGUAGA
This 5536-nucleotide small RNA is filed under the name Rattus norvegicus (Norway rat). RNAcentral describes it as "uncharacterized LOC102551724". The record is from RNAcentral. Lineage: Eukaryota; Metazoa; Chordata; Mammalia; Rodentia; Muridae.